Molecule: ribosomal RNA, 322 nt
Filed under: uncultured eukaryote
Lineage: Eukaryota
Description: partial 18S ribosomal RNA
Rfam family: Eukaryotic small subunit ribosomal RNA
Source: RNAcentral
CCCUUAGAUGUUCUGGGCCGCACACGCGCUACACUGAAGGAGGCAGCGUGUACUCCUGGAUCGAAAGAUUUGGGUAACCCGCGAAUCUCCUUCGUGCUAGGGAUUGAGGUUUGCAAUUAUCCUUCAUGAACGAGGAAUUCCCAGUAAGUGCAAGUCAUAAGCUUGCGCUGACUACGUCCCUGCCCUUUGUACACACCGCCCGUCGCUCCUACCGAUUGAGUGAUUCGGUGAAUAAUUCGGACUGCAGCAAUGUUUGGAUCCCGAACGUUGCAGCGGAAAGUUUAGUGAACCUCAUCACUUAGAGGAAGGAGAAGUCGUAACA